GGGCUGUAGCUCAGCUGGGAGAGCGCGUCGUUCGCAAUGACGAGGUCAGGGGUUCGAUCCCCCUCAGCUCCACCA
RNAcentral lists this transfer RNA (75 nucleotides) under Brucella inopinata. Its description in RNAcentral is "tRNA-Ala". It matches the Rfam family "tRNA". Rfam says of the family: Transfer RNA (tRNA) molecules are approximately 80 nucleotides in length. Their secondary structure includes four short double-helical elements and three loops (D, anti-codon, and T loops). Lineage: Bacteria; Pseudomonadati; Pseudomonadota; Alphaproteobacteria; Hyphomicrobiales; Brucellaceae. The record is from RNAcentral.